UAUUGAUAUUCUUACUUUUAUAUUUGUAAUUUAUUUGAGAGAAAUAUCUUUGUUUUUAGUAUAUUAAAGAAUUAAGAUUUUUAGUUAUAGUUUAUUAGUACUGUGAAGGAAUAUUUGAUGAAAUAUAUUGAAAAUUUUUUUUUAAUAAGUAGAUUUAGUUUAUUGUACCUUUUGUAUCAGGGUUGAUUAAUUAUUAUUAAUUUAUUUCUCGAUUUCAGAAGAGCUAAAUUUAUAUUUUAUUUGUUGUUUCAUAAACAUUAAAAAUUUAAUUUUAGGGAAGAAAUUUCAUUCGAUUUUAAAGGUAUCUAGUUUUUUAAGAAUUAAAUUUAAUUUAGGUUUAUUUAUUAUUUAAUUAAUUUAUUAAUUAUUUAUUAAAUAAUACAAAAAUAUUGGGGGAUAAGCUCUAAUUUUGUUCUAUAUGUUUUUAUUAUUCAGUUUUUGUAGGACUUAAAACACCCAUCGUUGAAAAAUUCGUUGUAGUUUAUGCUUGUUUUAAUAUGAUUUUCUUUGUACUUAGUAUUUUAUUAAAAUAAUAUUUUUAAUUUUAUAAAUUUGGUAAUAAUGAUUAAAUUAGUAUAUUUUAUCUUGUAAUUUAUUUAUUUGUGGUGAUAAUUAAAUAAGGAAUUCGGCAAAUAUAGUAGUCGCCUGUUUAUCAAAAACAUGUCCUCUUGGUAUAAUGUAUAUGAGGUCUGACCUGCCCGGUGAAGAAUAUUUUUAACGGCCGCGGUAUUUUGACCGUGCAAAGGUAGCAUAAUCAUUAGUCUUUUAAUAGGGGGCUGGUAUGAAGGGUUUAACGAGCUAUUGGCUGUCUCAUUUAAUUUGGUAUUAAAAUUUAACCUUUCAGUUAAAAGGCUGAAAUUUUGUUGGAAGACGAGAAGACCCUAUAGAGCUUUAUUGUUAGGAUUUCAAUAUUAUUUUGUUUAUUAUUAUUUUUUGGAGUUUAAACAAUUUUGUUGGGGUGACAAAAAUAUAUAAUUAACUUUUUUAUUUUAUUAACAUUGAUUUAUGAUUUUUAGAUCCAUUCUUAUUGAUUGUUAGAUCAAGUUACCUUAGGGAUAACAGCGUAAUCUUCCCUUGGAGUUCUUAUUUACGGGGAGGCUUGCGACCUCGAUGUUGGAUUAAGAUAAUAGUUAGGUGUAGCCGCUUAAUUAAUAGGUCUGUUAGA
This 1165-nucleotide ribosomal RNA is filed under the name Microgomphus chelifer. RNAcentral's name for it is "partial 16S ribosomal RNA". The stretch from base 550 to 1165 matches the Rfam family "Archaeal large subunit ribosomal RNA", at positions 1423 to 2653 of the family's 2987-position model. Lineage: Eukaryota; Metazoa; Arthropoda; Insecta; Odonata; Aeshnidae. The record is from RNAcentral.